This 704-nucleotide ribosomal RNA is filed under the name uncultured bacterium. Its description in RNAcentral is "bacterial SSU rRNA". It matches the Rfam family "Bacterial small subunit ribosomal RNA", at positions 28 to 724 of the family's 1533-position model. The record is from RNAcentral.
AGUGAACGCUGGCGGCAGGCCUAACACAUGUAAGUCGAGCGGCAGCGCGGGGCAACCCUGGCGGCGAGCGGCGGACGGGUGAGGAAUACAUCGGAAUCUACCCAGUCGUGGGGGAUAACGUAGGGAAACUUACGCUAAUACCGCAUACGACCUGAGGGUGAAAGCAGGGGACCGCAAGGCCUUGCGCGAUUGGAUGAGCCGAUGUCCGAUUAGCUAGUUGGUGAGGUAAAGGCUCACCAAGGCGACGAUCGGUAGCUGGUCUGAGAGGAUGAUCAGCCACACUGGAACUGAGACACGGUCCAGACUCCUACGGGAGGCAGCAGUGGGGAAUAUUGGGCAAUGGGCGCAAGUCUGAUCCAGCCAUGCCGCGUGUGUGAAGAAGGCCUUCGGGUUGUAAAGCAACUUUUCGUCCGGUAAAGAAAUCCUGUCGGUUAAUACCUGGCGGGGAUGACGGUACCGGAAGAAUAGGCACCGGCUAACUUCGUGCCAGCAGCCGCGGUAAUACGAAGGGUGCAAGCGUUACUCGGAAUUACUGGGCGUAAAGCGUGCGUAGGCCGGUUCGUUAAGUCAGAUGUGAAAGCCCCGGGCUCAACCUGGGAAUUGCAUUUGAUACUGGCGGGCUAGAGUACGGUAGAGGGUGGUGGAAUUCCCGGUGUAGCAGUGAAAUGCGUAGAGAUCGGGAGGAACAUCUGUGGCGAAGGCGG